RNAcentral lists this unclassified non-coding RNA (552 nucleotides) under Hevea brasiliensis (rubber tree). The record is from RNAcentral. Lineage: Eukaryota; Viridiplantae; Streptophyta; Magnoliopsida; Malpighiales; Euphorbiaceae.
CGGCAAAAUGGGAAUUUUAUUGAAAAGAAUAUUUACAUAAAUGGGAAAACAAUGCAACCAAGGAGUGCAUCUCAUUCAAGAUGAAUUCCUUUGUUUUUGCCUUUUUUUUUUAUUAUUAUUAUUAUUUUUAUUUUUUUUAAUUUCAAGCCCUUUAAUUGCUCGAUAAUGGACAAGGGUUUCACCUACUAAAAUGUGUUGGCAAAACCAUCAUAAUUUUUACCUAAAUGCAAAUAAUUAUAGGUCCAAAACUAAAGAAAAAAAAAGGGGGGGCUAAUUAGGGCAUGUCAUAAUGGAAGAAGACAGCCACCCACAUUUCAUUAUAGUUGCGGAUUCUUAAUAGGUUGAUAGUUGAGAGGACAAUCUCAUGAUCAUUUGCCCUAUAAUAAUUUAUUCAAAAAUUUAAUCCAACCACACUUUUGAGAAAAUUUAAUCCAACCACCCUUUUCAAAAAUUUAAUAUUUAUAUAUAAUUAAUUAAAUUAUAUAUAAUGAGUGUAUGAAUUUAAAUAUAAAUAUUUAAUUUAAUAAUUAUUAAAUUUAUUUUUCAUGUCAG